Bactrocera neohumeralis is the source of this 7747-nucleotide long non-coding RNA. RefSeq lists it as uncharacterized. NCBI's taxonomy places the organism in Eukaryota, Metazoa, Arthropoda, Insecta, Diptera, Tephritidae. The record is from RefSeq and is a predicted model, not a curated record. The transcript is spliced from 2 exons.
ACAAUGCUAAGGAUUAACUUAUUAUAUUAAACAACUGGGUUACUUUAUAUUUGUUGAGGUUACACACUAAAGUAAAAUGAAAGUUGAGAAAUGGAUAUAUGAAUGGAAAUAAAUAAAAUAUGCAAAAUACAACAAUAAUAACAAUGUGCUGUCAAUUGAUUGCUUGCCAGCAAAGUAACUGCGUACAAAAUAAUGUUACAAUUAAACAUCCAUAUGAAUAUGUAUAUAUAUAUAUAUAUAUAUAUAUAUAUGUAUAUCUAUAAAAUAAUGCUAUACAUUAAACAUAAUAAAUAUUUAUAUUUUUAUACAACUAAAUAAUUAAACCUAAAACUAUAUUACGUACUUGACAUAGAAAUAAAAUUUCAAACAAAUAAAAGCUGCAACAAAAGCAGACGAUUAUUUACACCUUGUACUUUAAAGCUACAUAUAUUAUUUUGUAUAAGAAAAAAUUAAUUUUUUUUUCGUAUUUUAAUUUUUUAUGCACCACUUUUCAUAUACUAUAUGAAAAAAUAAAAGUAAACUGAUUAAUUAAAAAUUAAUAUAAAUAAGGUUAAUAAAUCAAUUUAAAUAAAAAAAUUAAAAUUAAACAAUUAAAUUAAUUAAAAGUACAUUAAUAUUGUUUGUAUGUAUACAAAUCACUGCGCGCGCAUGCGCUAAGCCUCCAAGCGCUCACAAAUAUAAAACAAAAUUUGUUUGAGACCGUUAGUAACGGCAGCAUACUGCUUCUUUCUCCACGUUGCUGUGCUCUAAUGCCGAUUUAUCAAGCAACUUUGUAUACAUACAUACAUACAUACAUAUAUACAUGAUUUCAGCCGAUUAUGUAAUAGUAUAUACUCGUAUAUAAAUAUAGUUUAUAAUUAGCGAUGCUUUCAAUUCUACUUGUAGACGCGAUUGAGCUUUUAUAAUUUAUUGGGAUAUUAGAUUUAGUAACAUGUUUGUAAAAAUAGAUUCAUUCUAGAAACUCAUUCAUUCUAGGCACACAUAUCUAAUGGCUUAAGCCUCUUUCUUAUUUCUACUACUUUAUUUUUAUAUUCUAGGCAUAUACAAAAAUAUAUUUUUGUUUUUAAACUGUUGUGUCUUGUUGUCAUUUAUACCCGGUUUUGUGGCUCAAACCAAAUUUAUGAAUGGCAACAAGCUACUUGUUAGCUCUAAAUUUUAAUUAUUACUAAAUUUUACUUUUUUUAAUUCAUUUAAUUACCACAUUUUUUUCAAAAUUUUACACUGCACGGAAUGAACAGAAUUUGACACAAAAUGUUUGACUUUGCCUUUGACGAAAAGAAGUGAAACAAAUGCAUACUUCGUUGAAAUCCAUUGGAUACUGCAGAUAAUUUACGGUCGUUCUGUGAUCGGGUGGAAAAGAAUGUUGUAAGAAAUGAAAAGAUCUACAACUUUUAUAUUUACACCGUUUUCACAUAACCUCAAAUUUGUGUGAAAAGUUCAAAUAUUUAAGUUUUUUGGAGAAAGAUUUGCUUUCAGAAAAUUUAAUGUAAAUUUAACUUCUUAUGCUCAAAACACACUGUAUUUUUUUAAAUACUGAGAAGGAAACUUAAUUUCGACUAAAGGGGCUAUACCAGUGUGACGCAUGAAAAAUUAGGGGAUUUUCGUGAAUUUUUUUAAAAGAAAGUACUAGAUUGAAUGUUUCGACGUUCUAUGGACGUAAUAUAUUAUAUUUUUAGCUAUAUUAAAAAAUAUAACGGAGUUAUGUGCUAUCUGCGGAAGUGCCGAAAAAAAGUGCCUCAACUGCUGGCAUGCUUCCGGUCGAAUGAGUAGCUGAAACAAAAAAAUUCAAAAUGUUUAUUAAACUUAAAUAUAUUUCUAUACAAUGAACUACGAUCUUUGGAAAAUAUCAAAAAUUAAGAAAAUGGCGUAAUUUUGAAAAAAAAAAAAUCGUUUUUUUACGAAAAAAAUGGUUGUUUUUUUAAUGCCAAAUUGACAAUUUUCAACCAAUCAAAAAGAUUGUAGUCCAUUGUAUAGCAAAUAUAUUCAACUAUUUUUUUUUUGAAGUCGAUCGGUCAAUUUUUCGUUGAGUUAUGAUGUCAGCAAUUUUGAAAAAUGUCGUUUCGUGAAAAACGCGUUUAAAGUUUCACUUAUAUAUGUAUAUAUGUUUGCACCUCUGAGCGGUCGCUAUUUAGAACGCUGCCAUUCAAAAACUAUAGAAGAUACGACCUCGCCGAUUUCACAGGAUAUUUUCGAAAUAAAUAAACUAUCGAAAAAGCAAAAAAAAAAAUUUUUUUUUGAAAGUGUCACACUGGUAUAGCCCCUUAAAAUCGAAAAAUAGGCUAAUGUUCACUCAAAAAUUCUUACAACAAAAUAUUAGAUGUUUUUAAAAAGUCAGUCGGUUUUAUAUUUGUUAAAAUCUCUACUUUCUGAUGGCAUAAAUUUGUUGGAAAGUAUAAAAUGUUUGAUUUUAUUAUAAAAUAUACAAUAAAUAUACUACCACUAAUUAUGUUUCUCAAGUACUUGGGCAUAAGUAACUAAUUUAAAAAUAUAUGUUGAAAUAUUAGUGUAAUUUUGUUUUGAAACAAGCUCGAAUCGUGUCUGCCGUUACACGACCACGAUUUGAUCAUCAACUUCUGUGACACGUUCAAUCUGUUUGCAGUCUUAAUGAUAAGAAGAUUCCAAUAGAUUUUCAUUGUAUUUUUUUAAUAUUUUUUAAAACUGCUGCUGCUGAAGUAGGUUGAAAAGAAAUAAAAAAAACACAAAUAAUUUUUAUUACUUAUUAAAUUGUACUCAAAAUAUUAUAUUUUCGACAAAAUAUUUUGCGGACAUAAUAUGCAGAAAUAUUUAUAUAUUUACAUGUUUUAUGCAAUAAUGUUUUUUACAUAUAUUAAUUUCUUAAUGAAUUUUUUUAAUUUAUUCAAAUUUUUUUAAUAACUCUUAAUUAAAUAUUUUGGUUGAAUUAAAACUUUUUAUUUAAAACAAGCACUAAUAAUUUGAAUAUUUCACAAACGUUUCCUUCAUUCUCUCACACAAAAAAAUAAAACUACCAACGUUAGCAAAUGUAAAAAAUAACCACACUUACAUAAGUCGAUGAAUUCUUUGUUAUUGCAAUGAAAAAAAUAGCAACAAUUAUACAUACAUACAUAUUAUUAAAUAUAACAUAAAUUAUAUCAGCUAUGACAUCUGAUAAUAAAAGGUAAAUGUGUAAUUGAAUAAAAAAACGAAAAUGACAGAGCAAAGAAAGCGUUGGAGAGUUCACAAUGUAGAGAGCAGAGAGUGACGGAGUAGACAUGCAAUGAAAUGCAAUGAGCGCUCGUCUCCCAACAUUUGCGUUGCACUGUGUUUAAACGCGAUAAAUUCAAUAAGGAAGCACACAACAACUACAAAACUACGAAACAAUGUAAACAAACAACAAAACAGCCGAUGACAGAUGAAACAAUGUUACUCAAACACUCAAAUACAAUAAAUGAAACAAACGAAAAAUGCACGAAUGCGCACAUUGCAACAAAAAACAAAACAUAAUAAAUAAACGCUGAAGUGCAUGCUCAUACAUGCACAUUUAUGAAUGCGGCGGCGUUAAACGGUUAAUGUAAUACAAUGUUAUAUAGUCGUAAUAAUUAAAUAUGCAAUUGUAAUAAAAAUUGAAAUGCAUUUGAAUUCAAUAAAACGAAAGCUGUGUGGCAUUUGAAUGCCCGUCAAUAAAAAUGCAUAAAUUAAUGAAUUUAUGAUAUGAAAAGUUUUGUUGGCUGCGGAGAACAAAAAUAAUAUUACAAUAAAAAUUAUUGAAAAAGUUUCAGACAAAAACUGUUUUUUAUGUACAAAUGUCAGAAAAAGUAAAUAACACUAAAAAAAAACAAUAAAAAAAUAAUAAUUUAAAUAAAAUGAAGUAAAAUAAAAUGAAAAAUAAUAGCAAAAUGAUAACGCUUUAACUUUAACUUUAAAAAGUAAUCAAAUUCAUUGAAUAUUAUAAAUUAAAUGCUUAUAAUGGUUUUCGUGUCAAACAAUUAUCAAAUACAUAUCACUAUAUGGCCUAUUUUUUUAUUUACAAAAUCGAAAAUGGCAGCAACACGAACACAAGGCGACACACCGUUAAAAUUAGACCGGUAGAGCAACAUUUUGCCUAGAAUAUGUACAUACAUACAUAUGUAUGUAUGUGUGGGUUCGUUGCUGCUGAGUUGAGAAUUUUGCUAAAAUUUUAAUUAGAACUUAUUACUGUACGAUUUUUAACAUUUAAAUAUACAUAUACUAUGUAUAUAUAUAUAACAAAACAAAUGAAAAUUAUGUGUUCUUUAACGGUAAAGUUAUUGACUUUGUACGACGUUAUAUAAAUAAGUUAAGAACUACCACACAAUUGUACGAUAAUAAAAGAAUAAGAUGAGUACAUUGACAAAAGUAGCUCCAAUUAAUUGCAAAUACUGGUUUAAACGAGAGCUGCAUACUUUAAGGCGCUUUAACCCAUGGGGAAGUUAGGAUGCUAGAAUGAUACAUUUUUUUAGCUGUCAUUUUAGUGCUUCUAUUAACUUGAUAAAAGAUAUAUAUAGAAAUGGAAAUAAAGCAAAAUUAAAUAAAUAACAAAAAUAAUUUAAUAAAAAAAGUAAAGUAAAUAAAAAAAAAUUAAUGAAAUACAGAAAAAUAUUAAAAAAAUGCGAAAUGAAAAAAUCAAAUAAAAUGAAAUAAAAUCUGAAAUUAAGUUAAAAAAUAUGAAAGAAUAAUUAAAAAAAAUAAGGAUAUAAAGAAAUAAAUAAAAAAUAAUGACACAUUAAAAUUAAAUUUAAACAAAAAUAAAAUAACAUAAAAUAACGCAAAUUUAAAUAAAUUAAUAAAUAGAUAAACAAAAAUAAAAAUUAUAAAAUAAAGCAAAAUAUAUAAAAACAAAAUUAAAAGCUAAAAUAAAAUAAAAUAAAUGAAUGAAUAAAAAAAAUUAAAUAUUUAAAUAAAAUAAAUCAUUACAAAUAAAAUAAAAUGAUGCAAAUUAAUUUAAAAAAACAAUAAAAAUGAUAAAAAAAAAUAAUUUAAAUAAAAUACAUGAGUAAAUUACUAUAGUUUAAAUAGUUUAAAUAAAAUGAAAUAAAAUAAGACUAGGGAAAAAAACAAAAUAAUAAAUAAAUAAAAUAAAACGAAAUUAAGUAAAAUAAAAUUAAUUAAAAUAAAAUAAAAGAAAAAAUAAAAAAAAUAUAAAAAUGAAACAAAGAAAAGUAAAUAAAAAUAAUAAAAAAUUAAAAUAAAAUAAUACAAAUGAAAAUAAUAUAAGCAAAGACUAUAUAAAAAAAUAAGUAAACAUAAACCAAAUUAGUUAAAGUUAAGGAAAAUAAAAUAAAAAAGUUCAGUCAAAAAAUAAAACAAUUAAAUAAUUUAAAUUAAAAUGAAAUAAAAUUAUAAAAUUAAACUUCAUAAAAUUGAAUGCAUAAAUACAAAUAACAUAAAUUGAAAAAAAAAAUAAAAAGUUAGGUGAAAUGAAAAAAAAUUAAAACUAAAUAAAUAAUCAUAAAAAUACAUCAACUUAAAAGAUAUAUUUAAUAUAAUAAAACCGAAAAAUAAAUAAACAAAUAAUAAUAAUAUUAAACAUUGUAAGCAAAUUUACACAAAAUAAAAUUAAUUAUAAAAUAAAUUAUAUACCACUCAAUAAAUUAAAAUUAAGUACAAAAAGAAAAUUAUGCAAACAAAAAAAAAAAAAUACAAUAAAAAUAAAUAAAUGAGUAAUAAAAUUUAAAUAUAAUUUAAUUAUUUAUUUUUAGAUAAAAAAGUUAUUUGUAAUUUUUUCAAAAAUAUUAUUUGAAAAACAUGAGAACGUAGUUAAAGCCAUACUUAAUACUAAAAAAAUAUAAAAAAAUUAAAUACAUUAUUAUUAUUGAAUAAAAGCAUAAGUUUGUAUAUUACUGUAAACAUAUUUUCACCAAAAAGUCGCAUAAAAGCAUAAGAACUAAACUCCUUGCUUUGAGUAUGCCAGAGAAUUAGAAACGCUUUAAAAAGUAGUGUGCAUUAAUGACAACUUAGAAACGGAAAUUUUUAUUUUUUUUGUAAAAUUUUUAAUAAAUCAAUAAAAACCCGUUAAAGUAGACUUUAUUAGUGUUAAAUUAAGCAGUGCUUAAAAAUACAAUUAAAAACUAAAAAUAAACAGCGAAAUGAAAAACAAAAAAAUAUUUUUUUUCUGUUAAUUUUUUAUGACGUUUUUAAAUUAAUAACAAAAUAUAGCUGAAAUAUUAAUAAUUUGCAAUAGCAAAUUUUAGUUAACUGCUACAGCCAACGUGCACACACACACACAAAAAUAAUAAAUAUAAAAUUAAUAUAUUUGUGGGAAAGUAAAAUUGCCUAGCUAAAUUAGAAAAAUUCUCUAAAAUAGUUUAGAACUUAAUACAAUAAACCGCAAACAGCCGUAACAGAAGGAAAACAUAAAAAAAAUAAGCCUAAGAUAUUUAUAUAGUGAAACAGUCUAAUGAAGGAUAUAGUUAAAGAAGCAGUAAGUGUGAGUCAGAAAAUCAGCGAAAAAUAACAAUAAUAAGUAUUGAAUAACUAAGAGAAAAAUAAGUAAAAUAAAAUUAAAAAUACUAGAAACUGCAAAAAAUGUCAAUAAGAAGAAAUAAUUAAAAAUAAAAGCAAAAAAUAAUAAUAAUAAUGUAAUUAGUUAUUAGAACGAAUAAAUAAAUGCUAAGACAAAUAAUAAUUACUUUCUAAAAUAAGUAAAGUAAUCUCCUGUUUGAGUGUUCAGCAAAAGCAAGCGAUAUUACUUUCGAAAACUUUUGUAAAGGAAAAUCAGGAAAAAUAUUACACAAAAACAAAAAAAAAUACAAAAAUAAAACAAAACAGAAACUAUACACAUAUUAUAUAUGAAUCAAAUAAUAAGAAAAUAUCUUUAAUGAAAUUAUAAUACUAAAAAAAUAAAAAAGCAACAAUACAAUAAGAGCACUAAACACAAAUUACAACUUUGGUAAUACAGUCUACAAAAUACAAUAAUUAACACAGUAAUUUAAAGCAUAAACUAAGUGAAAAUAGACAUUAAAAAUAAAUGUAAAAAUAUUUCAAAUUCAAAACAUGCAAUUUCAAAUACUUAAAAAAUAAACAAAAUCCGUUAUACAGCAUACAGCAAAUACUAAAAACUACUUUGUAAAUUACAAUUAUAAUACAUAAUUCCAUAAGCUAAGCAAAUAUAACGGUUAUGUAGCAAAAGAGUCUUCAAGCCACUCAACAGAACCUAAAACAAAAUCCCGUAAAAAAAUUUCUAAAAUUAUUAAUGCAAUAAGUUUUAGAAAAUUACAAUAAUAAAAAAUAAAAAAAAUAAAAUAAAAUCCACACAAGAACCCCAAUUUAAUUUCAGAAAAUUAUGAAAACCAAACACAAAAAUACCUUUGACAGCAAACGAAGCAAAAAUCCCCUCAAAAUGAUUUCGAAAUAAAAAAUAAAACAAACAAAAAAAGCAUUUGAUUCAAAGUUAUCUAGUGAACAUUUUAAGAUAUAAUCUAAAUCUGCUGCAGCAAGUAAUCCACACAUAAGUAAAUACUCAUUAAAUAAUGUAUAAUUGAUUUAUAUAUACACACAUAAAUAUAUAGAAAUGUGCGUAACUUGAUGCAUAUAUACAUACAUAAUAUAUCAAAGAUCAAUGCUAAUGCUACAACAAAGCUACAAACAAUAAUUAUAAUUACUUAACUGAUAAUGAUUACAUAAAUAUACACACACAAAACACAUACAUACAUGUGUAUUAUGAGCAUAAUACUAAAGAAUUAUUAAGGUAUUGAAAUGUUGGUGAUGGCCAAUCAACUGAAAUAAUUUACUAAAUCAAUAAAAAGAAAUUCAUAUUAUAAUGUACUGUCAA